Molecule: ribosomal RNA, 411 nt
Filed under: Triticum aestivum (bread wheat)
Lineage: Eukaryota; Viridiplantae; Streptophyta; Magnoliopsida; Poales; Poaceae
Description: partial small subunit ribosomal RNA
Source: RNAcentral
AUGGCAGCUGCUCCGACGCCCACGCUGGUGCUGCUGCAGGAGUGGGGCGUCGGGCACCUCAUGUCCAUGCUCGAGUCCUGCAAGCGCCUCCUCCUCUGCGGCCGCCGCGCCUUCUCCAUCACGCUGCUCGUCAUGCGCCCGCCCACCGCGCAGGCCACCUCCCAGGUCGAGGAGCACGUCCGCCGCGAGGCCGCCUCCGGCCUCGACAUCCGCUUCCACCGCCUCCCCGCCGUCGACCCCCCGGCGGACGCGGCCGUGGUCGAGGACUUCAUCGCGCGCUACAUCCAGCUCCACGCGCCCCACGUCCGGGACGCCGUCGCGGGGAUGUCCUGCCCCGUCGCCGCGCUCGUGCUCGACCUCUUCGCGGCGCCCAUGGUCGACGUGGCCCGCGGGCUGGGCGUGCCGUCCUAG